GCAGACUCAGUGGUCAGCGGAAACUUGAUGAUAGCAUAGUGGUCAAGCUUGUUUCUCCUGGGAGCGCUCUUCCGAGGAUAUUUGGGCUGUCUCCGGAGUCGCAGUGUCUUCGGCCGCCGGAAGGUGGGUGACGUGUGGAUCUUCUUUUUGUGGCUGUGGACACCUUUCAACACUGCCUUCUUGGCCUUUAAAGCCUUCGCUUUGGCUUCGGCUUUAGGAGGGGCAGGAGCUUCCUUCUUCACUUUCGGCACCAUCUUGUGAAAAGGGUCCAAAACAAAUUUUUU
Molecule: long non-coding RNA, 284 nt
Filed under: Homo sapiens (human)
Lineage: Eukaryota; Metazoa; Chordata; Mammalia; Primates; Hominidae
Description: non-protein coding lnc-PGLYRP2-3:1
Source: RNAcentral